This is a long non-coding RNA of Hevea brasiliensis (rubber tree), 2046 nucleotides long. RefSeq lists it as uncharacterized. The record is from RefSeq and is a predicted model, not a curated record. The transcript is spliced from 3 exons. NCBI's taxonomy places the organism in Eukaryota, Viridiplantae, Streptophyta, Magnoliopsida, Malpighiales, Euphorbiaceae.
AGAAAUGAAUGUGCCAAGGGAUGCUAGUGUGGCUUCGGUAGCUAUUCGUAACACAGAAGCUCAGGCCCCCCUCCCACCACUCCCUCCACCACAAUCUGUGGACCCUCCACUGCUGCAACAAAUCAAAGAGGUAACUCCACCAUCAAAGUGAGGAUGUGGAAGGCCAAGAAGAACAACUUCAGAUAAAUCUCCAACUGCUGUGGCACUUCCAGCACCUUCUGGAAAUGGAAAAGUGGAUGUGGCUUUGCAGAAAAGAAUUGAGCCUAUCCCAUCAAAAUCCUUUUCUCCUGAUUCUUCAAUUGGUUCUUCUAAGUUAGGGGGUCCUAGUGGAGUGACAACUCAGUCUAGUAUAGGGAUUACUUCUACUCCUCAACCCACAACCCCUUCAGUUUCUAUUACACCCAACUCACAAUCUAUUACCUUGUCAUUCUCCCACUUGGCUCACAAUGUAUACCUGCUGCAGUCGUUGCACCUGGCUCGCAAUGUAUUCUUGCUGCUGUUGUCACACCUGUCUUGAAAUCUAUUCCUGCUGCUGUUGUCUCUCCUGGCUUGCAAUCUAUUCCUGCUUCUGUUGUUACACCUGGAUCACAAUCUAUUCCUUCUGGCCCUUCUGCGUCUAUCCAAUCAAGAGGACGAGGUCGGAAGGUUCAAAGUGGAGUACAGGCACCAUGACGCAGGGGUAAGAAACAGGAGUCAAUACUGUCUGCUCCUGGGAAUUUAGCUGUUACUGAUCCGAGUACAAAUGAGCAAUCACAUAAUAGAUCUUUUAAUCCAUUGGUUAUGCCACUAGUGGAACCGUUCCUAGUGUUCCUGUUGGUCAUUGUCAUAGUAAUUUACCUGGCUCUGUUGCUGUAGAAGUUAUUAGUGGACCCCACUCAUCAGUCUGUACCAGGGAUUGCUUCUGAUUCUAAGUCAACUCCUCCUGUCUCUUCUAUCACUUCUGCUGCCGAAUGCCUCCCUCCUGGCCCUUCGGCUUCUGUGCAAAUAAAAGGGCAAAGCCGGAAGACACAAACUGAAGCAGGAACACCACGGCGUAGAGGUAGGAAACAAGCUCCAGUAUCACUGUUGUUCCAAAUGCUCUGGUCAGUCAGGUUUCUUUAUCUGAUAUAGUUUCACAGAAUAAAUCUGAGGACUCAGUAUGUAAAGCCAUUGUCCUGACAAGUAACCAAAAGAGUAAUGAUUGUGAACCAAGAGAUGUUAGCCAGGAUCAAGCAUCCAGAAUAGCUGGUCAGGAUCAAAAAUUUACUGCGCAUUUGGAUGAUGUAACCCAAAACGGCAACCAGUCUGCUUGUCAACAUCAAAUGAUGGUAUUGCCAGAUCAAUUUGCACAUUUCCUGGACAAAUUCUGAGUACUGAUAUGCGUGAUGUGGCUACUGUGACAGAGGAGUUACCAGCUGAAAAUAGCUCCGCAAAAGCUAAUUUUGAUGAACAAGGUAAUGAUGGUGGCGUUGCCCAAAAUGUACCUGUAUUAAGUAAAACCUUUAUAGAGGUGGUUCAAAGCUUUAGAGGACAAAAUAUCCCUGGUUGUUGGCCUUCCAACCGAGUCAUCACCACGUUUUGUUUCUGUAGAUGCUGAUGGCAAAUCAAUUCAUCAGGUUGCUGUGAAGAUUGCUUCCAAUUCUGAGCCGACUGCAUCUUAUCCUUCCAUCUCCCCAGCCUUCGAAUCUAUCCCUCCUGAAUCAUUGCAAGUUAAAAGGCAAGGUCGAAAGGCUCCAAAUAGGGCUGAAGCACCUAGGCGUAGGGGAAAGAAGCAGGGUCCAGUUUCACCUUCUGUUGACACUUUGGUUGGUCAGGACCUGAAAGCAAAUCCAUAAUCACAGAAUAAAUCCAGGGAUAGAUCAGGGAGUAAUGUGAUUUCCUUGAAGAGCAAACAAGAGAGUGAUAUUGAGGAACCUGCAAAUGUCAGUCAGGAGGCACAUUUGUCCCGUGAUUUAGUUGGCCAAGAUUCAAAAAGAAAAGAGACUAGUGGAAUUCCUGCUCUUGGUAGAAUUCAGACUGCUGCUAUUACUGUAUUGCUCGUGUGAUGAAGGAGAUUUUCUGUAACAC